This 276-nucleotide long non-coding RNA is filed under the name Pandoravirus salinus. RNAcentral describes it as "putative ncRNA". The record is from RNAcentral.
CCUCUUUCUUUUCUGAUGGCCGUCGCCCCGUACCGGUCGCCUGUCGUCGCACGGCCCUGAUAUUGACCGCCGACCUUUUGGCCGCCGGAGAAACUCUACUUGUCUUUGUUGCGCUCUCGACCACGCCGACCUCCGAGGUGAAAGAAGCAAGUGGAAAAAACAGGAAUGCCUGCGCGCGCGCCACUGGUCCAACGCCCCCGACACCCAAGGGCGCUCGACGGCCGACCACAGACAAAGUGAAAAAAAGGACGCCUCAUUUAUCGUCGCCGUGAAGCG